Chinchilla lanigera (long-tailed chinchilla) is the source of this 786-nucleotide long non-coding RNA. RefSeq lists it as uncharacterized. The record is from RefSeq and is a predicted model, not a curated record. Lineage: Eukaryota; Metazoa; Chordata; Mammalia; Rodentia; Chinchillidae. The transcript is spliced from 3 exons.
AGGUCAGCCUAUAUGAGAAGAGGAGGAAGGAAAAGGUUGCCAUCGACUGACGAGAUACUAUCAUCAGCUUCUUGGCUGGACCUGGACUGAUAUGCAUUGCCUAAAGCCAACUGAAGGGAUAAGGAAAAGUCCUAGCCAGAGGAAAGGACUCAGCGGUGGCAGCAUGCUUGCCUUCUGAUAUGUGGAAGAUCUUUGGUGGACCAAGAACAGAUUUAUUGUGGACACAGUAAGAAGGACAACUAAUAAAGGUUAGAGGCCACAACAUAAAGUUUCUACUCAUGAAAAAAACGGGCUCCUUCUAAGUCGCUGGAAGUAUUCGGGCAGUGGGUGGAUACUUGAAAGCCCCUCAUUGGAACAGUGGCUUAAUUUGUUCACCUCUGAGUCCCUGAGCACUUACAAGUCUAUGUAUUUCCUUGACCUUGGCCUAUGAGUUCUGUUACUCUUGUGAUUUAACACGUGGAACAUUAUGUGGAAAACUAUAUAGGAUUUUUAAAUCAUCGCCAAUUAGGAAUAUGAGGAUGCUUGCAGUGAUGAAGAGUGAAUGCUGGUUAUUUCUCUGAGGUCUGUAAGGGCUUUGGAUAGAGAAUCCUAAGAGAAGGCAUGUGUGUGUACAUUCACAAAUUAGUGUGUGGUUCCUGAUUGUGUAUAUAUGUGUAUAUAAAUAUGUAAAUACAUAGUAUGGAUACUGUUAUGGCUCAGACCUAGAUAUUCCCCCAUUGAUUUUAUUUUAUUUUUGUCUUUUUGAGACAGGGUCUCACUAUGCAAUUCAGGUUGACCUUGUGCUCA